Molecule: ribosomal RNA, 460 nt
Filed under: uncultured bacterium
Lineage: Bacteria
Description: partial 16S ribosomal RNA
Rfam family: Bacterial small subunit ribosomal RNA
Source: RNAcentral
CCUACGGGCGGCAGCAGUGAGGAAUAUUGGUCAAUGGACGCAAGUCUGAACCAGCCAUGCCGCGUGCAGGAAGACGGCUCUAUGAGUUGUAAACUGCUUUUGUACGAGGGUAAAUCCCGAUACGUGUAUCGGGUUGAAAGUAUCGUACGAAUAAGGAUCGGCUAACUCCGUGCCAGCAGCCGCGGUAAUACGGAGGAUUCAAGCGUUAUCCGGAUUUAUUGGGUUUAAAGGGUGCGUAGGCGGUUCGAUAAGUUAGAGGUGAAAGCCCGGGGCUCAACUCCGGCACUGCCUCUGAUACUGUCGGGCUAGAGUGUAGUUGCGGUAGGCGGAAUGUAUGGUGUAGCGGUGAAAUGCAUAGAGAUCAUACAGAACACCGAUUGCGAAGGCAGCUUACCAAACUACGACUGACGUUGAGGCACGAAAGCGUGGGGAGCAAACAGGAUUAGAUACCCUUGUAGUC